GAUCAUGGCUCAGGAUGAACGCUAGCUACAGGCUUAACACAUGCAAGUCGAGGGGCAGCAUGGUCUUAGCUUGCUAAGGCCGAUGGCGACCGGCGCACGGGUGAGUAACNCGUAUCCAACCUGCCGUCUACUCUUGGACAGCCUUCUGAAAGGAGAUUAAUACAAGAUGGUCAUCAUGAAGUCCGCUUAUGUUCACAUUAGGUACGUUAAGGUAUUCCGGUAGGGACGAU
Molecule: ribosomal RNA, 230 nt
Filed under: uncultured bacterium
Lineage: Bacteria
Description: partial 16S ribosomal RNA
Rfam family: Bacterial small subunit ribosomal RNA
Source: RNAcentral